Molecule: long non-coding RNA, 415 nt
Organism: Scatophagus argus
Lineage: Eukaryota; Metazoa; Chordata; Actinopteri; Scatophagidae
Exons: 3
Source: RefSeq, a predicted model, not a curated record
CAGAUAGACGUCUCAACUGUGUGAUGUGGUCAGACAGAUUCAAGAUGUUACGAGUGGGGUCGCCCGAGGAUAUGAGGAGAGUCAUCUCCCGCGGACAUGAACUGGGCUGCCUCCCGCACAGCAUACCAGAGCGUGCCACAUGUUCAGUGGAGCACCAAGCCUCCGCCUGUCCCUCAUGAAAUAUGCAUCACCCAGUGCCGACGGAAAAGCUGUGAUGUCAGAGCUUCCAGUUUCGGUGUCCUGUUUCUGCAUUGCCACAGUGACACAGCAGCUCAGUGAGUGGGGAAAUUCACUUGCUGUGGCAGCUCACAAGGACAGAAGAGGAGUCCUCCUGUGACCUGGUAAUUACCUGCCGGCUGUCGCGCUGGGAAGAGGAAGAGGAAGAAGCGCUCUUGUGAACCGGUGUGGAGGUCUU